Aotus nancymaae (Ma's night monkey) is the source of this 110-nucleotide unclassified non-coding RNA. It matches the Rfam family "Y RNA". Rfam says of the family: Y RNAs are components of the Ro ribonucleoprotein particle (Ro RNP), in association with Ro60 and La proteins. The Y RNAs and Ro60 and La proteins are well conserved, but the function of the Ro RNP is not known. The record is from Ensembl. NCBI's taxonomy places the organism in Eukaryota, Metazoa, Chordata, Mammalia, Primates, Aotidae.
GGCGGAUCUGAAGGUAAUGAGUUGUUUUAACUGAUUGUCCACAGUCAGUUACGGAUCAAACUCCUUGUUUUACUCUCCUCCUUCUCACUACUGCACUUGACUCAUCUUUA